RNAcentral lists this non-coding RNA (242 nucleotides) under Clostridium sp. RNAcentral's name for it is "T-box sequence". It matches the Rfam family "T-box leader". Rfam says of the family: Uncharged tRNA acts as the effector for transcription antitermination of genes in the T-box leader family. T-boxes are found upstream of many aminoacyl-tRNA synthetase genes and some amino acid biosynthetic genes usually in Gram-positive bacteria. The anticodon of a specific tRNA base pairs to a specifier sequence within the T-box motif, and the NCCA acceptor tail of the tRNA base pairs to a conserved bulge in the T-box antiterminator hairpin. The record is from RNAcentral. Lineage: Bacteria; Bacillati; Bacillota; Clostridia; Eubacteriales; Clostridiaceae.
GGUAAAGCGUUGAACGGGACGAGUAGGGAAAACGCAGGUCAGGAGCGAGCCGCAUCCGGUGCAAGGCGGCGGCCGUGCAUUCACCGAACAUCACCCGCGAGCGCGUCCGUGAACACAGCGGCGCUGCCGGUAACGGACGACGUGUUUCUCACGUUACAGGGAGACCAGAGCGGACGGGCUUGCGAUGCAGACCCGUCAACACCGGGUGGUACCGCGGAAAGCGUCGGCUUUUCGUCCCGCAA